GCGUUGAAGAUAAGGUUGUUAGUGAAUUUGCGCUCUCCGUUUGGUUCAAAGUUUUAAGACCCUUUUAGGGGGAAAAAUGAAAAAGCCUCCUGUUACAUUGUUCUAUUGUAUCUGUGUAAUUGAUACGAAAAAUUACAAAAUUAGGCUUGACCUCAAGUCAAAUCCUAGAAUAAAACAAGUAGGUCGACCACUGCGUUGAAAAAAGCUUGAUGGUUUUAGCAUAAUAACGAUUUAAAUUUUUUUUUCCCCGAGACGUACUUGCCGCACUCUCUUCCCGUCAUCAAAAGUUAUUAUCAGAUUUAAUUCACUCUAACUAUGGACGGGACAUAGCACAAAUAAGCGAGUUAAGGGUUGAGCAUUAAGAUAUGAAUUUGGUAUUUAUUCCCACAGAUCUAGACAGGUCGAUAAGCCAUAAAAUCUCUCGUUAUGAUCGACAUCUACCAAUCACAGUGCAUGCAUGCUGGGUGAAUAACAAGCGAGGGAAAUUCAAGAAUUCAGUCUGCUGGAAGAGCGUGCACGAGCAACAUUACUUCGCUUAGAUCAACACUGAUAGGUCUUCAUAAAGCGAGAUAUCACCUCAUCAGCUUGGAAGUAACGAUGUCUCGCAGAGCGUCCCAGGUUCUUUUACUUGUGUUGCUGUGUGCCUUGGUUACAGAUGAAGUGCAUGGUAUUUAUUCGUUCAAACGUGCGCCCAAUCAGUUCAGAAAGAGAGUAGCUCAAAUGAUCUACGCAUGGUGUGACGCUAUUUGUGAUAACGCAAUUUGCCGAGUGGUGGAGAGUUCCGGCAAAUAUGAUCAUGUCUAUAGUGAUUGUGAAUGCGGCUUGGACUGUUAUUGCCUGUACAGUGAAACACGUUAUAACAGCUACAUCUACAGAUGCAUGCCAGCAUGAGCAGUUUGAACUUGUGUUUGGAACUGACUGUCAAAUGUAUUUCUAAUUUGUGUUUGGUUUGGCCAUUUUGCAUCUGAGUUUUAUAAUGUUGGUUAAAAACCACAUGCUACUCGCCUCUACCAAUGAGAGCAAAUUUACCACGAGGGGCACACGUGAUAUGUUCAAUAUCGAGUUCUGAUUGGUUCAUUUGGGUAUAACGUGUGCAUGGUGUGGUGAUUGGCAUUACAUUGGUUUUGUUUUCAGCUUUAGUACAGUCAUUUAAGAAAAUUGUCCUAAUAAGCCAUUUCCGAGUUGCUUUUUGCCUCUAUUUCAAAACGAGGGCGGUGCACAACCUUUCAUACGGAAAUGAAUUUGUUUUGCAAGACAAAGAACGUGCAAGAGAAACUCAUUUCAAAAUGAAAGGUUGUGCAACAAGACUCGUUUUGAAACCGAGGUAAAAAGCAACUCGAAAAUGGCUCAUUAAAUCGGAUGUUUCUUCUUGAACACCAUUAGAACAUUUCUUCACGAAGAUUUUCAUUUUUAAUGACAUUGUUGAAUGACACUAUAGUAGAGUUACCUUUACGUUAAUUCCCCGAAAAGAAAUAAAUUAGCUGCUGUGUUUCUCUGACAUAACUGAGCUUCGCAGAGAAACGGUAUUUAACAGUUCAUAAAGCUGUACAUACUGUGAAUAUUUUGGCUCUAUUUUAGCGCCAGGAAGGGGUUUAUUUAGCAACACAAUUUAUCGACGAAACACUGUUAUACUAGCAUACGUGCUGGAAUUUUAUGUGUUAUGUAGUUAGAAAUAAAAACACUGAAUGGCGAGAUGUGUGGUUAUAUUGCUAACUCAGUUGGUAGACUGGAUAUACAGUAUGUUGGAGGAAGAGGGCGAGGGGGGGAGGGGGAAUUACAGAUACCGAAUAUCCCUUUCGUUUAUCCCUGAGCUUUCCACUUUCGGUAGUACUACUGCUUCCCCUCACAAGAACAAGAG
Molecule: long non-coding RNA, 1858 nt
Filed under: Orbicella faveolata
Lineage: Eukaryota; Metazoa; Cnidaria; Anthozoa; Scleractinia; Merulinidae
Description: uncharacterized LOC110064113
Source: RNAcentral